Pteropus alecto (black flying fox) is the source of this 1753-nucleotide long non-coding RNA. RefSeq lists it as uncharacterized. NCBI's taxonomy places the organism in Eukaryota, Metazoa, Chordata, Mammalia, Chiroptera, Pteropodidae. The record is from RefSeq and is a predicted model, not a curated record. The transcript has 2 exons.
AGAUGGGAAGAAAUAAUCACCUUAACUGUUUAAAUCGUUCCCGGGCAAAAGGCGCUUCGUAGAGCGUUUUACGAUGCCCGGGGAGGUGGCCGGGCGCUUUGAUGUCUCCUGAUAUCUGCGACCUAAUGUCCUGUCCAGGUGGCCCUGCUGCCCUGUGAAAUGUGCCUCUUUUACGAAAGUUUCUGCAGCAGGAAACUUAACUACUUAAAGCCUUAAAUGGAGCUUCCACUGGGUCCCGCCCACCCCCGCCCCGGAAGUGACAUCUACAGACAGCUUUCCAGCCGCCGUCCGGGCGACGAGCUCGCCUGGCACCGGCUUUCCGGCCUGUGCUCCUCGUCGCCAGUCGUGCGCUCGGACCCGCUCCCUCAGGACACUGUCGCGUCGUUUCUCUGGUCCCGCAGCGCUGGGAGGGAAGGUGAGCCCCGACACCUGCCCGGGGUGCGCCACGCCCAGGACAGGACGAGGACAACGCGGCGCGUCCCCAAGCUGGGAGCAAGCGCUGCCAGGUCACCUCAGGAUCCAGGACAAACAGGAAGACGGAGCAGCAAAUCUCAACCGUGACCCCACGCGAGUAAAAAUGUCAGUGCUCACUGAGCCUCUGCGAUUACCUACGACCCUGUGGGAUCAAGAUCUAUUAUUCAGAAUAACAUGGAAGCAGGGAAAAUGGGAAAAACUCUGAGUUCCACUCCUCAUUUAUACCUGUCCAUUUUGAACAUUUUAGCUUCAGUCGUCUGAAAUUGCAACACCAAUGUAAAUUUAAUGCUUUUCCUCAAGAUCCCCAAGAUCCAUCACCUGCACACGGGGCUACAUUCACUGCUAAUUAAUGUCUGUCAUUACCAAGUAAAAAUAAGCUAAAAUGCAUACAAUUUCAUACCUUAGACUCUGCAUUAUGCUUAGGUUUUCUGUUUCUAUUUUGAUUUUUUACAUUCUUAAAUAUAUUUUAUUCAUUUGGGAUGGUAGAACAAGAAUUGGCUAAAUUACUACCACAUUUCUACUGGAAUUUCAUAAUUCAUAAAUCACUGGAAAAAUCACCAAAUGUGAGCUGUAGUAAUCAACACAUAUAUUUAAUGGCAUGAUGAAAGUUCUCAUAUUUUGGUGACACAAACUGAUCCACACACACAUAUAUACACACACAAAUGUGACUCGCAGACACACACACACACACACACAGAGUAAUCUCAAAAAUUUUAAUUUUCCAAGGGUCAAAAGAAUAGACGUCACAUGUUGCUGACUUAGCACAUGAGUUCACAGUGGUGAACGCCGUGGGCAAAUCACAUUUUGAUUUUUGUGUAAUUUUGAUGCAAAGAAAUUCUAAGUGAUCUUUGCCAUAAGAUGUAUUUUUCAAACAACCGUAUGAGUGUGGCUCUUGAUGGGGCACCCUAUUUUUGACAACGAGUAGAUUUCCUUGAGAUAAAAUGUCACCUGAAGAAGGAGGAGCAAAGAAUCGCAAAUCGGAGGCAGCGUUGCUACAAGGCUGGAGACAUGGUAAUUAAUUCAGAGUUUGUCUUCUCUCUAUUGUGUAUUUUUAAAACAUACACCUUUGGUACCUGUUUCUUUCUAUCCUUAUUAUUCAAAAAUAAUGUCAGUAUCAGAAGGAUGACUUGUUUUCAUCUAAUACUUGUACCAUUUUAAAAUUAAAUCUUUAGAAAGAGAACAUCUUUGAAUCUUUGUAGUAAUAACUAACCUAUGGAGGAAAUUAAGUUAAGAACUUGUCAAAAAAAAAAAAAUUGGAGAAUUUACACGCCCAGUUUUA